RNAcentral lists this ribosomal RNA (253 nucleotides) under uncultured bacterium. RNAcentral's name for it is "partial 16S ribosomal RNA". It matches the Rfam family "Bacterial small subunit ribosomal RNA", at positions 524 to 776 of the family's 1533-position model. The record is from RNAcentral.
UACGAAGGGGGCUAGCGUUGUUCGGAUUUACUGGGCGUAAAGCGCACGUAGGCGGAUCGUUAAGUCGGGGGUGAAAUCCUGGAGCUCAACUCCAGAACUGCCUUCGAUACUGGCGAUCUUGAGUCCGGAAGAGGUGAGUGGAACUCCUAGUGUAGAGGUGGAAUUCGUAGAUAUUAGGAAGAACACCAGUGGCGAAGGCGGCUCACUGGACUGGUAUUGACGCUGAUGUGCGAAAGCGUGGGGAGCAAACAGG